RNAcentral lists this ribosomal RNA (794 nucleotides) under Lentilactobacillus farraginis. RNAcentral's name for it is "bacterial SSU rRNA". It matches the Rfam family "Bacterial small subunit ribosomal RNA", at positions 84 to 863 of the family's 1533-position model. Lineage: Bacteria; Bacillati; Bacillota; Bacilli; Lactobacillales; Lactobacillaceae. The record is from RNAcentral.
CUUGGUGACGAGUGGCGAACUGGUGAGUAACACGUGGGUAACCUGCCCCGAAGCGGGGGAUAACAUUUGGAAACAGGUGCUAAUACCGCAUAACAACCAAAACCACCUGGUUUUGGUUUGAAAGACGGCUUCGGCUGUCACUUUGGGAUGGACCCGCGGCGUAUUAGCUAGUUGGUGAGGUAACGGCUCACUAAGGCGAUGAUACGUAGCCGACCUGAGAGGGUAAUCGGCCACAUUGGGACUGAGACACGGCCCAAACUCCUACGGGAGGCAGCAGUAGGGAAUCUUCCACAAUGGACGCAAGUCUGAUGGAGCAACGCCGCGUGAGUGAUGAAGGGUUUCGGCUCGUAAAACUCUGUUGUUGGAGAAGAACGGGUGUCAGAGUAACUGUUGACAUCGUGACGGUAUCCAACCAGAAAGCCACGGCUAACUACGUGCCAGCAGCCGCGGUAAUACGUAGGUGGCAAGCGUUGUCCGGAUUUAUUGGGCGUAAAGCGAGCGCAGGCGGUUUUUUAGGUCUGAUGUGAAAGCCUUCGGCUUAACCGGAGAAGUGCAUCGGAAACCGGGAGACUUGAGUGCAGAAGAGGACAGUGGAACUCCAUGUGUAGCGGUGAAAUGCGUAGAUAUAUGGAAGAACACCAGUGGCGAAGGCGGCUGUCUGGUCUGCAACUGACGCUGAGGCUCGAAAGCAUGGGUAGCGAACAGGAUUAGAUACCCUGGUAGUCCAUGCCGUAAACGAUGAGUGCUAAGUGUUGGAGGGUUUCCGCCCUUCAGUGCUGCAGCUAACGCAUUAA